RNAcentral lists this ribosomal RNA (253 nucleotides) under uncultured bacterium. RNAcentral's name for it is "partial 16S ribosomal RNA". It matches the Rfam family "Bacterial small subunit ribosomal RNA", at positions 524 to 776 of the family's 1533-position model. The record is from RNAcentral.
UGCGGGGGGGGCAAGCGUUGUUCGGAAUUACUGGGCGUAAAGCGCACGUAGGCGGCUUUCUAAGUCGGGGGUGAAAUCCUGGAGCUCAACUCCAGAACUGCCUUCGAUACUGGAAAGCUCGAGUCCGGGAGAGGUGAGUGGAACUGCGAGUGUAGAGGUGAAAUUCGUAGAUAUUCGCAAGAACACCAGUGGCGAAGGCGGCUCACUGGCCCGGUACUGACGCUGAGGUGCGAAAGCGUGGGGAGCAAACAGG